AGAUUGAACGCUGGCGGCAUGCCUAACACAUGCAAGUCGAACGGGAGUAGCAAUACUCUAGUGGCGGACGGGUGAGGAAUACGUAGGAAUUUGCCCUUAAGUGGGGGAUAACCCGGGGAAACCCGGAUUAAUACCGCAUGACCUCGAAAGAGCAAAGUGGGGGAUCGCAGGACCUCACGCUUUUGGAGAAGCCUACGUCGGAUUAGCUAGUUGGUGAGGUAAUGGCUCACCAAGGCGACGAUCCGUAACUGGUCUGAGAGGAUGAUCAGUCACACCGGAACUGAGACACGGUCCGGACUCCUACGGGAGCAGCAGUGGGGAAUAUUGGACAAUGGGCGCAAGCCUGAUCCAGCAAUGCCGCGUGUGUGAAGAAGGCCGUUCGGGUUGUAAG
Molecule: ribosomal RNA, 391 nt
Filed under: uncultured soil bacterium
Lineage: Bacteria
Description: bacterial SSU rRNA
Rfam family: Bacterial small subunit ribosomal RNA
Source: RNAcentral